This 463-nucleotide ribosomal RNA is filed under the name uncultured bacterium. RNAcentral's name for it is "partial 16S ribosomal RNA". It matches the Rfam family "Bacterial small subunit ribosomal RNA", at positions 29 to 507 of the family's 1533-position model. The record is from RNAcentral.
AGUGAACGCUGGCGGCGUGCCUAAUACAUGCAAGUCGAACGAUGAAGUCCUAGCUUGCUAGGAUGGAUUAGUGGCGCACGGGUGAGUAAUAUAUAGUUAAUCUGCCCUACACAGAGGAACAACAGUUGGAAACGACUGCUAAUACCUCAUACUCCUAUUUGACAUAAGUUAAAUAGGGAAAGUCUUUUCGGUGUAGGAUGAGACUAUAUCGUAUCAGCUAGUUGGUAAGGUAAUGGCUUACCAAGGCUAUGACGCGUAACUGGUCUGAGAGGAUGAUCAGUCACAUUGGAACUGAGACACGGUCCAAACUCCUACGGGAGGGAGCAGUAAGGAAUAUUGCGCAAUGGGGGAAACCCUGACGCAGCAACGCCGCGUGGAGGAUGACACUUUUCGGAGCGUAAACUCCUUUUAUCAGGAAAGAAUAAUGACGGUACCUGAUGAAUAAGCACCGGCUAACUCCGUG